This 434-nucleotide long non-coding RNA is filed under the name Setaria italica (foxtail millet). RNAcentral describes it as "long non-coding RNA (SITA_LNC002156)". The record is from RNAcentral. Lineage: Eukaryota; Viridiplantae; Streptophyta; Magnoliopsida; Poales; Poaceae.
CUCCAGAAGCGGCAACGAUGCCGUUACCAAAGUGGUUAGCUGCUUCUCCUUCACUCGCAGAAAAAUUUCCCAAGAGAUUUCACAUUCCAGUGGAUAUGCUUCGUUUUGCUCCAAAAGUACAUGCUUUUCCCCUUUCCUCUGGACAGUUUCUGGGCGAUUCCUAUCUUCCAGGCGAUGAGAGGGAGAUGACGGUUUCACUUGAAUGUGCUUCCUUUCCUACAUGUUCUUUUCCCCCCUCGGAUCCAAACGGGGCCUAAUUGAUAUUUCUACGAUUUUAUCUUAUCCCACAUUAUCCUCUCGUGAUACUUUGUCGAGCUGGGCCAAUGGGGUGCGAGAUUGGUAGGGCGCCCAUUGCUCUCACUCGCUCCCGCCGGUUGCUCGAUGCGCCACAGCGCCAGGACACCCGCGCGGAGGGAAAAAAAGCGAGCACUUGC